GACGAACGCUGGCGGCGUGCUUAACACAUGCAAGUCGAACGGGAUAAUUUGAGAGCUUGCUCUUAGAGAAUCUAGUGGCAAACGGGUGAGUAACACGUAGACAACCUGCCGACAGGAUGGGGACAACAUUCCGAAAGGAAUGCUAAUACCGAAUGAAGCGGAGGAGAGGCAUCUCUCCUCCGUGAAAGAUGGCCUCUGAAUAUGCUAUCACCUGUCGAUGGGUCUGCGUCUGAUUAGCUAGUUGGUGAGGUAACGGCUCACCAAGUCGACGAUCAGUAGCCGGUCGGAGAGAAUGGACGGCCACAUUGGGACUGAGACACGGCCCAGACUCCUACGGGAGGCAGCAGUGGGGAAUCUUCCGCAAUGGGCGCAAGCCUGACGGAGCAACGCCGCGUGAGUGAAGAAGGUCUUCGGAUCGUAAAGCUCUGUUGACGGGGACGAACGUGCGAAGGGUGAAUAAUCCUUUGUAAUGACGGUACCUGUCGAGGAAGCCACGGCUAACUACGUG
RNAcentral lists this ribosomal RNA (508 nucleotides) under uncultured bacterium. Its description in RNAcentral is "partial 16S ribosomal RNA". It matches the Rfam family "Bacterial small subunit ribosomal RNA", at positions 28 to 507 of the family's 1533-position model. The record is from RNAcentral.